CCUUCUCGCGGAGAAGCUGGAUGACACUAUGUGAGUUAUUGCCUCUCCUGCAGACGACGUACAAGUACGACUUUUUAUCCAAGGUGGCGGAGGAGGAAUCGGGCGUUUUCAUUCAGUGAGGUCUCGAGCAUAUGCAUCUUCUCCUCCAGAACAAAGAGCAGAAUGUUCAAAGAUCCAGAAAGUGAAACUAUGAGCAGGCCGUACAUCCAGCAGCAGACGAGGUUCACCCUUGUCCAUCAGACUUUUGUACUCUGUAAGUUGUACAAGUGAUGCAGGCACUCUCUGGCAGCAGGUUCAGGCUUGGCACCGAUUGCCUUAUGUCAGAUGAAUAGGUUAAAUGUCCUAACUUCUCAACCUGGAGCACUUGGUGAUUCUGCCAAGUUGCCACCGCUAAAACGAUGUUUUCAUAUCUUCUGCACAAUCAAAUUGGCAAUGCGACUCCUCGGGGCCAGGGCUGGAAGGUGUGUUGGUGGGACUGCCGAGGGAAGAGGAAGGUCAUCUUACAAGCCUAGAGGUAAGGUGUUCAACAGGUUCCCUCAUGAUAUGCAGAGUGACCUCCCUCACGGUAUGGCUGUAGAGGCACCUGGUGUAUGAAGAGUCCAGCAAGACCACCAGUCAGAACAAGGAACCUGAAAGUGAAGCCAGGAUAAUGCCACAACCUAAGAUUGCAUACAAGGCUUUGUUUUCUUCUUCAUGUCUCCUUUUUUCACAAGUUAUUAUUUCUAUUCGUAACUUGUUAUCAUUCUGUUAUAUGCACUGCUGAAGUAAGAGAAUGCCCAACUUUGGAGAGUAAAUGAAAUCAUUCAAGUGGCCA
Lolium perenne is the source of this 814-nucleotide long non-coding RNA. RefSeq lists it as uncharacterized. The record is from RefSeq and is a predicted model, not a curated record. NCBI's taxonomy places the organism in Eukaryota, Viridiplantae, Streptophyta, Magnoliopsida, Poales, Poaceae.